GGGAUGUGAUGAGUGGUGAAUGCUCGCAGUUGGUGCGAGAAGGGUGCCCGCCCUGCCUGGUUACGACAUUUUGGGUACUCCAAUGUUUUACCAUCUGAUCCC
RNAcentral lists this small nucleolar RNA (102 nucleotides) under Ipomoea nil (Japanese morning glory). RNAcentral's name for it is "Small nucleolar RNA Z279/snoR105/snoR108". It matches the Rfam family "Small nucleolar RNA Z279/snoR105/snoR108". From Rfam's summary of the family: This family includes the plant snoRNAs known as Z279, snoR105 and snoR108. All three are members of the C/D class of snoRNA which contain the C (UGAUGA) and D (CUGA) box motifs. Lineage: Eukaryota; Viridiplantae; Streptophyta; Magnoliopsida; Solanales; Convolvulaceae. The record is from Rfam by way of RNAcentral.